Molecule: ribosomal RNA, 505 nt
Filed under: uncultured bacterium
Lineage: Bacteria
Description: partial 16S ribosomal RNA
Rfam family: Bacterial small subunit ribosomal RNA
Source: RNAcentral
GACGAACGCUGGCGGCGUGCCUAAUACAUGCAAGUAGAACGCACAGUUUAUACCGUAGCUUGCUACACCAUAGACUGUGAGUUGCGAACGGGUGAGUAACGCGUAGGUAACCUGCCUGGUAGCGGGGGAUAACUAUUGGAAACGAUAGCUAAUACCGCAUAAUAUUGAUUAUUGCUUGAUAAUUGAUUGAAAGAUGCUAUUGCAUCACUACCAGAUGGACCUGCGUUGUAUUAGCUAGUAGGUGAGGUAACGGCUCACCUAGGCGACGAUACAUAGCCGACCUGAGAGGGUGAUCGGCCACACUGGGACUGAGACACGGCCCAGACUCCUACGGGAGGCAGCAGUAGGGAAUCUUCGGCAAUGGACGAAAGUCUGACCGAGCAACGCCGCGGGAGUGAAGAAGGGUGUCGGAUCGUAAAGCUCGGUUGUAAGGGAAGAACGGGUGUGAGAGUGGAAAGUUCACACUGUGACGGUAUCUUACCAGAAAGGGACGGCUAACUACGUG